Molecule: ribosomal RNA, 253 nt
Filed under: uncultured bacterium
Lineage: Bacteria
Description: partial 16S ribosomal RNA
Rfam family: Bacterial small subunit ribosomal RNA
Source: RNAcentral
UACGUAGGGUGCAAGCGUUGUCCGGAAUUAUUGGGCGUAAAGAGCUCGUAGGCGGUUUGUCGCGUCUGCUGUGAAAACUCGGGGCUUAACCCCGGGCCUGCAGUGGGUACGGGCAGACUAGAGUGCGGUAGGGGAGACUGGAAUUCCUGGUGUAGCGGUGAAAUGCGCAGAUAUCAGGAGGAACACCGGUGGCGAAGCCGGGUCUCUGGGCCGUAACUGACGCUGAGGAGCGAAAGCAUGGGGAGCGAACAGG